RNAcentral lists this ribosomal RNA (230 nucleotides) under uncultured bacterium. RNAcentral describes it as "partial 16S ribosomal RNA". It matches the Rfam family "Bacterial small subunit ribosomal RNA", at positions 15 to 228 of the family's 1533-position model. The record is from RNAcentral.
GAUCAUGGCUCAGGACGAACGCUGGCGGCGUGCUUAACACAUGCAAGUCGAACGAGAAUCUACGGAUCGAGGAUUCGUCCAAGUGAAGUAGAGGACAGUGGCGGACGGGUGAGUAACGCGUGAGGAACCUGCCUUUCAGAGGGGGACAACAGUUGGAAACGACUGCUAAUACCGCAUGAUACAUUGGGGUCGCAUGGCCUUGAUGUCAAAGAUUUAUCGCUGAAAGAUGG